Danaus plexippus (monarch butterfly) is the source of this 512-nucleotide long non-coding RNA. RefSeq lists it as uncharacterized. The transcript has 4 exons. NCBI's taxonomy places the organism in Eukaryota, Metazoa, Arthropoda, Insecta, Lepidoptera, Nymphalidae. The record is from RefSeq and is a predicted model, not a curated record.
GCUGUCGGGCUUGAAGCACGUUAUUAGGGUUUCUGUAUAACCCUUUUUGAAUUUUGGUGUUACUCAGCGAUCGUAUUACGCUACGGUAUGUGAGAAAAACUGUGCUUUUUGAAUUCUAUUAACGCAUUUUUAUUAAAAUGACAUGACUUAUAACUCCUACCGGUUGUUGUUGAGUUAGUGACAUUAAAUACUGUGUUAUAGUUUGUAGUGUAUUUAGAAUAUAUUAUACUGUGAUCAAAAACUUGUGAUCUGUGAAAAAAUACUGUGAGGUUUUCGAAUAUCAUCGGAUGUUAUUAGAUAUUAAAGGAAGAUAUAAUGGAGGAAUAUGGGAUUGUUAUGUAGUUGUGUACACUUCAAUUGAAACAAAAGUAAAAUGGACUUGAGUGAUGAGUGUUGUGAUGUACCCGUGAGGUAAAGGCGAUGUUGUGGCCGUGGACCGCGUGGGCCUGGCUGGUGCUCGCGAUAGGCCUGUCAAAGGCCUACACCGACACCGAGGACUUCCUCAGUGAUUU